CCUUCCUUCUGAUCUUGCGAGAUAUGAAAGCAUUGAUGAUGCUGUUACUUAUCUAGUAAGGUCUGUAUGUGAACUUGAAAUCCAUGGAGAUGUUGGUUCAGUUCAGUGGUAUGAAGUUCGUUUAGAAUGAAAGGAUUCAAGCCUUAUUAGCCCCCGUGAAUCAUGGACUGAGAGAUUGGCAGUGUUUUAGCUCAGUGAACUGAGAGUGUGAUUUCACUUACAGCAAUCAUUAGUUUGUAAAAGAUGACCACAUAUUGGUUAGGACUAAAGGCCCUUUUGGCACUACAACUAGAACACCAAGUUUUGUAGCA
RNAcentral lists this long non-coding RNA (311 nucleotides) under Fragaria vesca (wild strawberry). RNAcentral's name for it is "long non-coding RNA (FVES_LNC003314)". The record is from RNAcentral. Lineage: Eukaryota; Viridiplantae; Streptophyta; Magnoliopsida; Rosales; Rosaceae.